RNAcentral lists this ribosomal RNA (1244 nucleotides) under metagenome. Its description in RNAcentral is "bacterial LSU rRNA". It matches the Rfam family "Bacterial large subunit ribosomal RNA", at positions 1689 to 2925 of the family's 2925-position model. The record is from RNAcentral.
CGGAGAGAACUCGGGAGAAGGAACUCGGCAAAUUGACACCGUAACUUCGGAAGAAGGUGUGCCUUUAGUAGGUGAACCAUUUACUUGGGGAGCCCAAUGAGGUUGCAAAAAAUCGGUGGCUGCGACUGUUUAUUAAAAACACAGCACUCUGCAAACACGAAAGUGGACGUAUAGGGUGUGACGCCUGCCCGGUGCUGGAAGAUUAAAUGAUGGGGUGCAAGCUCUUGAUUGAAGUCCCAGUAAACGGCGGCCGUAACUAUAACGGUCCUAAGGUAGCGAAAUUCCUUGUCGGGUAAGUUCCGACCUGCACGAAUGGCGUAACGAUGGCCACACUGUCUCCUCCCGAGACUCAGCGAAGUUGAAAUGUUUGUGAUGAUGCAAUCUCCCCGCGGAAAGACGGAAAGACCCCAUGAACCUUUACUGUAGCUUUGUAUUGGACUUUGAACAGAUCUGUGUAGGAUAGGUGGGAGGCUUUGAAGUAGGGUCGCUAGAUCUUAUGGAGCCAACGUUGAAAUACCACCCUGGUGUGUUUGAGGUUCUAACCUAGGUCCAUUAUCUGGAUCGGGGACAGUGCAUGGUAGGCAGUUUGACUGGGGCGGUCUCCUCCCAAAGCGUAACGGAGGAGUUCGAAGGUACGCUAGUUACGGUCGGACAUCGUGACGAUAGUGCAAUGGCAUAAGCGUGCUUAACUGCGAGACUGACAAGUCGAGCAGAUGCGAAAGCAGGACAUAGUGAUCCGGUGGUUCUGUAUGGAGGGGCCAUCGCUCAACGGAUAAAAGGUACUCUGGGGAUAACAGGCUGAUACCGCCCAAGAGUUCAUAUCGACGGCGGUGUUUGGCACCUCGAUGUCGGCUCAUCUCAUCCUGGGGCUGUAGCCGGUCCCAAGGGUAUGGCUGUUCGCCAUUUAAAGAGGUACGUGAGCUGGGUUUAAAACGUCGUGAGACAGUUUGGUCCCUAUCUUCCGUGGGCGCUGCAGAUUUGAGGAAGCCUGCUCCUAGUACGAGAGGACCGGAGUGGACACACCUCUGGUGUAUCGGUUGUCACGCCAGUGGCAUUGCCGAGUAGCUAAGUGUGGAAGAGAUAACCGCUGAAAGCAUCUAAGCGGGAAACUCGUUUCAAGAUGAGAUCUGCCGGGGCCUUGAGCCCCCUAAAGAGUCGUUCAAGACCAGGACGUUGAUAGGUCAGGUGUGGAAGCGCAGUAAUGCGUUAAGCUAACUGAUACUAAUUGCUCGUGCGGCUUGACC